UGGGGAAUAUUGCACAAUGGGCGAAAGCCUGAUGCAGCAACGCCGCGUGAGUGAUGAAGGUCUUCGGAUUGUAAAGCUCUGUCUUUUGGGACGAUAAUGACGGUACCAAAGGAGGAAGCCACGGCUAACUACGUGCCAGCAGCCGCGGUAAUACGUAGGUGGCGAGCGUUGUCCGGAUUUACUGGGCGUAAAGGGUGCGUAGGCGGAUG
RNAcentral lists this ribosomal RNA (209 nucleotides) under uncultured bacterium. RNAcentral describes it as "partial 16S ribosomal RNA". It matches the Rfam family "Bacterial small subunit ribosomal RNA", at positions 355 to 581 of the family's 1533-position model. The record is from RNAcentral.